This 253-nucleotide ribosomal RNA is filed under the name uncultured bacterium. RNAcentral describes it as "partial 16S ribosomal RNA". It matches the Rfam family "Bacterial small subunit ribosomal RNA", at positions 524 to 776 of the family's 1533-position model. The record is from RNAcentral.
UACGAAGGGGGCUAGCGUUGUUCGGAAUUACUGGGCGUAAAGCGUGCGCAGGCGGCUUCUCAAGUCAGGGGUGAAAGCCCAGAGCUCAACUCUGGAAUUGCCUUUGAGACUGAGUAGCUUGAGUACGAGAGAGGUGAGUGGAAUUCCCAGUGUAGAGGUGAAAUUCGUAGAUAUUGGGAAGAACACCGGUGGCGAAGGCGGCUCACUGGCUCGUAACUGACGCUCAUGCACGACAGCGUGGGGAUCAAACAGG